This 258-nucleotide long non-coding RNA is filed under the name Elaeis guineensis (African oil palm). RNAcentral describes it as "long non-coding RNA (EGUI_LNC062732)". Lineage: Eukaryota; Viridiplantae; Streptophyta; Magnoliopsida; Arecales; Arecaceae. The record is from RNAcentral.
CCUAUUGGUGUCAAGGAUUCAGGCUAAAGGGUUUGAACUCAACAUGAUUAAUUAACUGCAAAGAGAAAUAAUUUUCAAUGAGAUGUUUGUACUCGUAACUAUUUGUUAUAGGAACUUUAAUAAACAAACAAGGCUCCCACUAUUUCUACGAAUCUCCCAUACCCCUCGGGUGGAGAAAUAAAAAUCUAUACACAUUUCUAGUAGAUACUUUGCUCCCACUGAUCCAUGUGCACCUCACCUAAUAGUUAUUGGUGAUGC